CAGCUCCAAUAGCGUAUAUUAAAAUUGUUGCAGUUAAAAAGCUCGUAGUUGAAGUUCUGCUGAAAGUAACCGGUCUGCUUUUAAUAAAAGUGGUAUCUUGGUGUGUAUUUAGCAAUGAUGUCCUUUGAAGUGUUUUUUACUUUAUUGUAAUAAAGCAUAUUCAGGACUUUUACUUUGAGAAAAUUAGAGUGUUUCUAGCAGGCUGACGCUUUGAAUACUGCAGCAUGGAAUAAUAAGAUAGGAUUUUAGUUCUACAUUAUUGGUUUUAAGAGCUAAAUUAAUGAUUGAUAGGGACAGUUGGGGGCAUUUGUAUUUAACUGUCAGAGGUGAAAUUCUU
RNAcentral lists this ribosomal RNA (337 nucleotides) under Hepatozoon canis. RNAcentral describes it as "SSU rRNA". It matches the Rfam family "Eukaryotic small subunit ribosomal RNA", at positions 586 to 921 of the family's 1831-position model. Lineage: Eukaryota; Apicomplexa; Hepatozoidae. The record is from RNAcentral.